Molecule: ribosomal RNA, 449 nt
Filed under: uncultured bacterium
Lineage: Bacteria
Description: partial 16S ribosomal RNA
Rfam family: Bacterial small subunit ribosomal RNA
Source: RNAcentral
GCCCAGACUCCUACGGGAGGCAGCAGUGGGGAAUAUUGCACAAUGGGGGGAACCCUGAUGCAGCGACGCCGCGUGGGUGAAGGAGUCUUUCGGUAUGUAAAGCCCUCUCAGCAGGGAAGAACAAUGACGGUACCUGACUAAGAAGCACCGGCUAAAUACGUGCCAGCAGCCGCGGUAAUACGUAUGGUGCAAGCGUUAUCCGGAUUUACUGGGUGUAAAGGGAGCGCAGGCGGCGCGCCAAGUCUGAUGUGAAACCCCGGGGCUCAACCCCGGGCAUGCAUUGGAAACUGGCGGGCUGGAGUGCCGGAGAGGUAAGCGGAAUUCCUAGUGUAGCGGUGAAAUGCGUAGAUAUUAGGAGGAACACCAGUGGCGAAGGCGGCUUACUGGACGGCAACUGACGCUGAGGCUCGAAAGCGUGGGGAGCAAACAGGAUUAGAUACCCCCGUAAC